ACCCGAGUAUAGGUAAUUAGACGGCACUUAUUGAUAAAGGGGAGAGUAUCCCAGAAACGCAUUGAAGACAUUAUCUAUCUGAGCUGGAGAAACAUCUAAAAGGAUCGGGACGCCACUUCACGCUGAAUAUACCGAGACUGCAGCCGGUACUAGUAACAAUAAGGGGUUUGCACAAAUAUGUUUUGGAAAAAGAGGGGGACCUGGACUGCACAUCCUAUUGCUAAAGAUAUUAAGAGGUGCUAUCAUGCUUAGAGUGUAUAGUUUCCGGAAUAAGGAUGUGAAGGAAGCACUGACAAGAGUGCUUAGAAACAAAAUGCACACUCAUCAGAAGAGAAAGUUUAAAUGGAAAAAGUGACACUGGCCAGAACAGAAAAACAGAGGUGUCACAGUGGAUCCCAGAGUUCUAUGUCUGUUCAAGAUGAUGUUGGAAGUUAUCAUGUUGUUGUUUAAUAGGAAAUGUUUAGAAAAUUAACAUCAAAAUAACAAAGUGAAAAUAAAAAGUUGUG
This is a long non-coding RNA of Pseudophryne corroboree (corroboree frog), 506 nucleotides long. RefSeq lists it as uncharacterized. The transcript has 3 exons. The record is from RefSeq and is a predicted model, not a curated record. NCBI's taxonomy places the organism in Eukaryota, Metazoa, Chordata, Amphibia, Anura, Myobatrachidae.